RNAcentral lists this ribosomal RNA (878 nucleotides) under uncultured bacterium. RNAcentral's name for it is "bacterial SSU rRNA". It matches the Rfam family "Bacterial small subunit ribosomal RNA", at positions 8 to 916 of the family's 1533-position model. The record is from RNAcentral.
AGAGUUUGAUCAUGGCUCAGGAUGAACGCUGGCGGCGUGCCUAACACAUGCAAGUCGAGCGAUUCUCUUCGGAGAAGAGCGGCGGACGGGUGGGUAACGCGUGGGUAACCUGCCCUGUACACACGGAUAACAUACCGAAAGGUAUGCUAAUACGAGAUAAUAUGCUUUUAUCGCAUGGUAGAAGUAUCAAAGCUCCGGCGGUACAGGAUGGACCCGCGUCUGAUUAGCUAGUUGGUAAGGUAACGGCUUACCAAGGUGACGAUCAGUAGCCGACCUGAGAGGGUGAUCGGCCACAUUGGAACUGAGACACGGUCCAAACUCCUACGGGAGGCAGCAGUGGGGAAUAUUGCACAAUGGGCGAAAGCCUGAUGCAGCAACGCCGCGUGAGCGAUGAAGGCCUUCGGGUCGUAAAGCUCUGUCCUCAAGGAAGAUAAUGACGGUACUUGAGGAGGAAGCCCCGGCUAACUACGUGCCAGCAGCCGCGGUAAUACGUAGGGGGCUAGCGUUAUCCGGAAUUACUGGGCGUAAAGGGUGCGUAGGUGGUUUCUUAAGUCAGAGGUGAAAGGCUACGGCUCAACCGUAGUAAGCCUUUGAAACUGGGAAACUUGAGUGCAGGAGAGGAGAGUGGAAUUCCUAGUGUAGCGGUGAAAUGCGUAGAUAUUAGGAGGAACACCAGUUGCGAAGGCGGCUCUCUGGACUGUAACUGACACUGAGGCACGAAAGCGUGGGGAGCAAACAGGAUUAGAUACCCUGGUAGUCCACGCCGUAAACGAUGAGUACUAGCUGUCGGAGGUUACCCCCUUCGGUGGCGCAGCUAACGCAUUAAGUACUCCGCCUGGGGAGUACGCUCGCAGAGUGAAACUCAAAGGAAUUGACGG